UUACGGCCAUAUCAUGCUGAAACACCGGUUCCCGUACGAUCACUGAAGUUAAGCAACGUCGAGUCUACUUUGUACGUAGAUGGGUGACCGCUUGGGAAUGGCAGGUGGU
Non-coding RNA from Acanthosepion pharaonis, 109 nucleotides. The record is from the annotation of a GenBank genome assembly. Lineage: Eukaryota; Metazoa; Mollusca; Cephalopoda; Sepiida; Sepiidae.